UACGUAGGGUGCGAGCGUUAAUCGGAAUUACUGGGCGUAAAGGGUGCGCAGGCGGUCCUGCAAGUCAGGCGUGAAAUCCCCGGGCUUAACCUGGGAAUGGCACUUGAAACUACGGGACUGGAGUAUGGCAGAGGGAGGUGGAAUUCCACGUGUAGCGGUGAAAUGCGUAGAUAUGCGGAGGAACACCGAUGGCGAAGGCAAUCCCCUGGGCCUGCACUGACGCUCAUGCACGAAAGCGUGGGGAGCAAACAGG
This 253-nucleotide ribosomal RNA is filed under the name uncultured bacterium. RNAcentral describes it as "partial 16S ribosomal RNA". It matches the Rfam family "Bacterial small subunit ribosomal RNA", at positions 524 to 776 of the family's 1533-position model. The record is from RNAcentral.